UAGUGGCGAACGGGUGAGUAACACGUGAGUAACCUGCCCCUCACUUCGGGAUAACUCCGGGAAACCGGGGCUAAUACCGGAUAUGAGCUUUUUCCGCAUGGUUGGGGUUGGAAAGAUUUAUCGGUGGGGGAUGGGCUCGCGGCCUAUCAGCUUGUUGGUGGGGUGAUGGCCUACCAAGGCUUCGACGGGUAGCCGGCCUGAGAGGGCGACCGGCCACAUUGGGACUGAGAUACGGCCCAGACUCCUACGGGAGGCAGCAGUGGGGAAUAUUGCACAAUGGGCGAAAGCCUGAUGCAGCGACGCCGCGUGAGGGAUGGAGGCCUUCGGGUUGUAAACCUCUUUCAGCAGGGAAGAAGCGCAAGUGACGGUACCUGCAGAAGAAGCGCCGGCUAACUACGUGCCAGCAGCCGCGGUAAUACGUAGGGCGCAAGCGUUGUCCGGAAUUAUUGGGCGUAAAGAGCUCGUAGGUGGUCUGUCGCGUCUGGUGUGAAAUCCCGAGGCUCAACCUCGGGCUUGCAUCGGGUACGGGCAGACUAGAGUGCGGUAGGGGAGACUGGAAUUCCUGGUGUAGCGGUGGAAUGCGCAGAUAUCAGGAGGAACACCGAUGGCGAAGGCAGGUCUCUGGGCCGCAACUGACGCUGAGGAGCGAAAGCAUGGGGAGCGAACAGGAUUAGAU
Molecule: ribosomal RNA, 676 nt
Filed under: uncultured bacterium
Lineage: Bacteria
Description: bacterial SSU rRNA
Rfam family: Bacterial small subunit ribosomal RNA
Source: RNAcentral